RNAcentral lists this long non-coding RNA (325 nucleotides) under Olea europaea subsp. europaea. Lineage: Eukaryota; Viridiplantae; Streptophyta; Magnoliopsida; Lamiales; Oleaceae. The record is from RNAcentral.
CUAUCAAAGUGGUCUAUAGGUUUUAAUUUGUGAAAUUAAGGGUCCGUUUGAUUGCAAAGAUGAAAUUUGGGUGGAAAGAAAACGAAUUUCAGAGAAUUGAAUUGGCUAAAAAUUGUUUUCCUGGAAAUUAUAAAUUAUUAUGUUUGAUUGUAUAAUUUUCCAUAUUUCUACAUGAAAAAUGUUGAAAUAAAAGUAUUUUUUGGUAUUCGUUUGACUUUGUUUUAUAUAAAAAUUAUCAAUUAAAUGGAUAAAAUUUACUGGUAUUGGGGAUAAAAUUUGUUUUCAUUGCCAAAAAAAAAAGCCAAGAAAAUUAUCUAACUUUUAG